AGAGUUUGAUCAUGGCUCAGGAUGAACGCUGGCGGUCUGCUUAACACAUGCAAGUCGAACGGAGUAGAAAUACUUAGUGGCGGACGGGUGAGUAACGCGUGAGAAUCUGCCUUCAGGACGGAGACAACAGUUGGAAACGACUGCUAAGCCCCGAUGUACCGAAAGGGAAAAUAUUUAUAGCCUGAAGAUGAGCUCGCGUCCGAUUAGCUAGUUGGCGGAGUAAAAGCCCACCAAGGCGACGAUCGGUAGCUGGUCUGAGAGGACGAUCAGCCACACUGGGACUGAGACACGGCCCAGACUCCUACGGGAGGCAGCAGUGGGGAAUUUUCCGCAAUGGGCGAAAGCCUGACGGAGCAAGACCGCGUGGGGGAAGAAGGCUCUUGGGUUGUAAACCCCUUUUGUCAGGGAAGAACACAAUGACGGUACCUGAAGAAUCAGCAUCGGCUAACUCCGUGCCAGCAGCCGCGGUAAUACGGAGGAUGCAAGCGUUAUCCGGAAUUAUUGGGCGUAAAGCGUCCGCAGGUGGCACUUCAAGUCUGUCGUCAAAGACCGGGGCUUAACCCUGGAAAGGCGAUGGAAACUGAAAGGCUAGAGAGAGGUAGGGGUAGAGGGAAUUCCCAGUGUAGCGGUGAAAUGCGUAGAGAUUGGGAAGAACAUCGGUGGCGAAAGCGCUCUACUGGACCUCAUCUGACACUCAGGGACGAAAGCUAGGGGAGCGAAUGGGAUUAGAUACCCCCGUAGUCC
Molecule: ribosomal RNA, 744 nt
Filed under: uncultured cyanobacterium
Lineage: Bacteria; Bacillati; Cyanobacteriota
Description: bacterial SSU rRNA
Rfam family: Bacterial small subunit ribosomal RNA
Source: RNAcentral